AUUAUGGGAUAUGGGGUGAGAGCCUGAUCCAGCCAUCCCGCGUGCAGGAUGAAUGCCUUAUGUGUUGUAAACUGCGUUUAUACAGGAAUAAUCAACUUGCCGUGUAAGGUGUUGAAGGUACUGUAUGACUAAGCAGCGGCUAACUCCGUGCCAGCAGCCGCGGUAUUUCGGAGGAUGCAAGCGUUCUCCGGAUUUAUUGGGUUUAAAGUGUCCGGAGGCGGGCAUAUAAGUCAGAGGUGAAAUCCGACAGCUUAACUGUCGAACUGCCUUUGAAACUGUAUGUCUUGAGUGAGAUUGAAGCAGCUGGAAGGUGUAGUGUAGCAGUGAAAUGCAUAGAUAUUACACAGAACACCGAUAGCGUAGGCAGGUUGCUAAGUCUUUACUGACGCUGAUGGACGAAAGCGUGGGGAGCAAAAA
RNAcentral lists this ribosomal RNA (417 nucleotides) under uncultured bacterium. RNAcentral's name for it is "partial 16S ribosomal RNA". It matches the Rfam family "Bacterial small subunit ribosomal RNA", at positions 359 to 774 of the family's 1533-position model. The record is from RNAcentral.